Long non-coding RNA from Acipenser ruthenus (sterlet), 1136 nucleotides. RefSeq lists it as uncharacterized. The record is from RefSeq and is a predicted model, not a curated record. The transcript has 3 exons. Lineage: Eukaryota; Metazoa; Chordata; Actinopteri; Acipenseriformes; Acipenseridae.
UGGCUAGAAGGCACCUGUGAGUUAUGAAUUUUAAAGUGAUCAUUUUCCUCCUUUCAACCAAUGGUGGACAAUGGGGGAUCUCCUUUUGACUCAGUUUCACAGCCCUGAGAGGCUCUCAGAUCGGCCACAUUCCAACAGGAUUGGAGUCAGAGCAGAGCUGUGCUGGAUUGCAUCAGUGUCGCUCACAGAAAGACAAGGAGCAGAUGGCCAGCAUUGAAAUCCCCUCCUCUUUUCAGCCUGCAAAGGAAGGCAAUGUGGGAAAGCAUUUCCCCGACAUUGCCUAUUGAUUCCUGAAUAGGACCACCACAUGCCACCAGCCUGUAGGUAUGGACUUCUGAAAACAGAUGGUUAAUCAAAGGUGUUGGCUGGUCGGCGGUCGGAGGUCUGGGCGGUGGGCGUGGUGAGGACUGCAGCAGGUUCGGGCUGCGAGGGAAGCAGACAUCAGGGAAAGGGGUCUCUUGGGACUCUUUUUGGCUUAUCCGCCAUUUUGGACAGUAACUUUUCCUUUUUUUAGAAAACUACCAACAGGAGGGAACUGCCUGGUGUGGUUUUUAUUUUUUGUGGUGUUCCCUAUCUUUUUUUUUAACUUGUGGCUGUGUGGUUUAGUAUUCUAUUUUAACCCUGUUGAGAAACAAUUGUUUUUACCUAUCCAAGCAUCAAGUAUGUGCAUAUUGGAACCCGGGGAUAAAAAGAACCUGCAUAGGGGAAAUUAUUAUCUACUCGGUCAUCAAGGUCCUUGUCCUUGCCAAACCCAAAGUGGCGUAGUCGUUACAAAUUCUAAAAGCAGGUUUACUACGGUUACCCCUGGUUACCCUACCCGUGACGCAGGCAGAUUUUCUACAAAGAGAUCGCUCAGCGUAGACCAUGACCUUGACUCUACUGGGGAAUGGAUUGUCCAAGGAGUGCCACCAAACACAGGAAGGCAGUUACCUAAAAUAAAAAUCUAUUUGUAAACCAAAAAAUGUCUUCAGUGUCAAUAAUUCUCUACACCAACCCGUUACCACAAAAAAGGUAGCUCGAACACAGUUCAACAGUGGCAGGUGAUAAUAAAACAAAAUCCCCAAAAAACACAAAAUCCAAAGAAACAAAAAUCCAUACAAAAAUAUCCCAAAUCCCGCUGCAACAAAGUCCCAAAU